AACGAACGCUGGCGGCAUGCCUAAUACAUGCAAGUCGAACGAGAUCUUCGGGUCUAUGGGCGCACGGGUGCUUAACGCGUGGGAAUCUGCCCGUGGGUUCGGAACAACUUCUGGAAACGUAAGCUAAUACCGGUUGAUGACGUAAGUCCAAAGAUUUAUCGCCCAAGGAUGGGCCCGCGUAGGAUUAGCCAGUUGGUGGGGUAAAGGCCGACCAAGGCGACGAUCCUUGGCUGGUCGGAUAGGAUGAUAAGCCACAAUGGGACUGAGACACGGCCCAGACUCCUACGGGAGGGAGCAGUAGGGAAUACUAGACGAUGAGGGAAAGUGUAGUCAAGCAAUGCCGCGUGAGUGAUGAAGGCCUUAGGGUUGUAAAGCUCUUUUACCCGGGAUGAUAAUGACAGUACCGGGAGAAUAAGCUCCGGCUAACUCCGUG
This 433-nucleotide ribosomal RNA is filed under the name uncultured bacterium. RNAcentral's name for it is "partial 16S ribosomal RNA". It matches the Rfam family "Bacterial small subunit ribosomal RNA", at positions 29 to 507 of the family's 1533-position model. The record is from RNAcentral.